This 439-nucleotide ribosomal RNA is filed under the name uncultured bacterium. RNAcentral describes it as "partial 16S ribosomal RNA". It matches the Rfam family "Bacterial small subunit ribosomal RNA", at positions 339 to 795 of the family's 1533-position model. The record is from RNAcentral.
CUACGGGUUGCAGCAGUGGGGAAUAUUGGACAAUGGGGGCAACCCUGAUCCAGCCAUGCCGCGUGGGUGAAGAAGGCCUUAGGGUUGUAAAACCCUUUCAGCGGGGAAGAUGAUGACGGUACCCGCAGAAGAAGCCCCGGCUAACUCCGUGCCAGCAGCCGCGGUAAUACGGAGGGGGCUAGCGUUGUUCGGAAUUACUGGGCGUAAAGGGCGUGUAGGCGGUUUGUCUAGUCAGGCGUGAAAGCCCCGGGCUCAACCUGGGAACUGCGUUUGAUACUGGCAGGCUAGAGGUUGGAAGAGGAGAGUGGAAUUCCCAGUGUAGAGGUGAAAUUCGUAGAUAUUGGGAAGAACACCAGUGGCGAAGGCGGCUCUCUGGUCCAUACCUGACGCUGGGGCGCGAAAGCGUGGGGAGCAAACAGGAUUAGAUACCCUAGUAGUC